AAAGCAGCGUGUGAGGGGCAGCCCUCGGUUCAGGGCCGCCAGCCUUCCCCCCGCUCAGCCGGGGCUGCUGCGUGCUUUGCUCCCUUCCCGCUGUGGUUGCUGCAGCACUGGCCCAGGCAACUUUCCCUUCCUGGUCGGUCCAUUUGUUUCCAGGUCAAUAUGAUUUUAUUCCCUGUAUCUGCAACCCAAGGAAGGCCUCGCGGAGCACAAAAGCACUCCAGCCUUGUUCUCGCCGUAGUAAUCUCCCCUGCAGGUAUCUGCAGGACCGCGAUGCUGGGUCAGGUUCUCCGYGCUCGUUCAGCCACCAGGGCUGCUGCGUGAGCUGUCAGAAGCUGUGAGCAUCACUGGGUGCGAUGCUGAGGAUGCUUCGCGGAGGACAGGAGCAGCAUGACCUUCUGAAAAGAUCCUGGUACAACACCACCACUAGAAGCAAGAAGCAGAUGCGUCCGUGUGGCUUUUGUGCAUCUAAAGGCAGAGAAAGAAGUAGUGCAAGAUCUGCUCGGUGCUGGAGAGGGAAGAAUUUCCAUGUUUCUGAACUGCACGUGCAGCUCUCCCUGCRGCAGGCAUCUGAGAAAAGCCAGGAUGGACCGACAGCUGAGCAGGCAGUCUGACUGAAGGAAAAGGUGGGGAAUGUCGGGAAGCACCACCAACCUGCACAAAUUGGGAUUUCACUUACUGUCCUGUUGAUUUCUGUGCUUUAGCUAGGCAGGGAGGGGAGAUUUUAACCAGUGUUUAGAAACGUAAUGGUUCAGCCUUCUGCGUAGCUGUUUUUCACUCGUUCCACCCCUGCUCUUCCAUCUCUAGCAGGCACACAGUUCCAGCUCCUCUCUCUGUACCUCCUCAGACAAAUAAGGCAAAGACCUGGGAGCAGCAGAUACAGAUGCCCAUACUGGAACAGGUCCCAUGCAUUUUCUUUGGCAGCGGUCUGGCUGCCUGCCUGCGACUCUGCCCCAGCUCGUUGUGCUACUGACUGAGUCUAAAAACAUCCUAGGACUUUGGUGGCAGAGCUGUAAGAGAGGGGCAAGUCCUGCCCAUCCAGCUAACAGGUCUCACAGCCUGUGAGUGGCCCUGCUGAAAUCRGUGAAGUCCAUAGGGAUGCCACUGUAUUGACAGAAUUAGCUGUUCCUUAGAAACAUGUUAAACUUGAACAAGCAGCUUAAGAAACACCCUGGCUACUAGAAACUGGGCAAGUGCCAGAGAAGAGGCUGCUUUUUACUCUUUCCCUGCGCGCUCGCUCUCGGCAGUCAGUGGAGGAAUCCAGGGGCAGAUGGGCCUUUGGUCUGCCCAGGGCGCUGUUCUUGCGGCCCGUGUUUGAUAGUAGCUGGCAGAGAGUUGUGCAGCUGUAAAUCCUGCGGGAGAUGUUUUAGUCAUAAGGAGCGGUUUGAAAUCCAUCUCC
Molecule: long non-coding RNA, 1396 nt
Filed under: Dromaius novaehollandiae (emu)
Lineage: Eukaryota; Metazoa; Chordata; Aves; Casuariiformes; Dromaiidae
Description: lncRNA (ENSDNVG00000008240.1)
Source: RNAcentral